GCGCCCGUAGCUCAGAUGGAUAGAGCGAGGGACUCCUAAGCCCUAGGUCACCUGUUCGACUCAGGUCGGGCGCA
RNAcentral lists this transfer RNA (74 nucleotides) under Deltaproteobacteria bacterium. RNAcentral describes it as "tRNA-Arg". It matches the Rfam family "tRNA". From Rfam's summary of the family: Transfer RNA (tRNA) molecules are approximately 80 nucleotides in length. The record is from RNAcentral. Lineage: Bacteria; Pseudomonadati; Myxococcota; Myxococcia.